UCUCAGACGAUGAUAAGGGGUAUUAGUUUCGAAGAUGUCAUACAGAGAGCCGGCGCUAGGUGCAAGUCGGUUGACGAUUUGGGAUGAACUCGCCUUGGAGUAAUGAUGUGAAACGCAGAACAUCUGCGCGUAGGAUCAUCGACUUACCCGCGUUAAGGGUGCAAAGUGAGUGGGGAUAAAGCAUAUUUCCCGCUAACUAGGGUGGUACCACGGGAAUUCAAACCUCUCGUCCCUAGC
RNAcentral lists this non-coding RNA (237 nucleotides) under Paenibacillus pini. RNAcentral describes it as "T-box sequence". It matches the Rfam family "T-box leader". From Rfam's summary of the family: Uncharged tRNA acts as the effector for transcription antitermination of genes in the T-box leader family. T-boxes are found upstream of many aminoacyl-tRNA synthetase genes and some amino acid biosynthetic genes usually in Gram-positive bacteria. Lineage: Bacteria; Bacillati; Bacillota; Bacilli; Caryophanales; Paenibacillaceae. The record is from RNAcentral.